Molecule: ribosomal RNA, 482 nt
Filed under: uncultured bacterium
Lineage: Bacteria
Description: partial 16S ribosomal RNA
Rfam family: Bacterial small subunit ribosomal RNA
Source: RNAcentral
AUUGAACGCUGGCGGCAUGCUUUACACAUGCAAGUCGAACGGUAACAGGCCGCAAGGUGCUGACGAGUGGCGAACGGGUGAGUAAUGCAUCGGAACGUGCCCAGUCGUGGGGGGUAACUACUCGAAAGAGUAGCUAAUACCGCAUACGAUCUAUGGAUGAAAGCGGGGGACCGUAAGGCCUCGCGCGCUUGGAGCGGCCGAUGUCAGAUUAGGUAGUUGGUGGGGUAAAGGCUCACCAAGCCAACGAUCUGUAGCUGGUCUGAGAGGACGACCAGCCACACUGGGACUGAGACACGGCCCAGACUCCUACGGGAGGCAGCAGUGGGGAAUUUUGGACAAUGGGCGCAAGCCUGAUCCAGCAAUGCCGCGUGCAGGAAGAAGGCCUUCGGGUUGUAAACUGCUUUUGUACGGAACGAAACGGCUCUGGUUAAUACCCGGGGCUAAUGACGGUACCGUAAGAAUAAGCACCGGCUAACUACGUG